Paramisgurnus dabryanus is the source of this 289-nucleotide long non-coding RNA. RefSeq lists it as uncharacterized. Lineage: Eukaryota; Metazoa; Chordata; Actinopteri; Cypriniformes; Cobitidae. The record is from RefSeq and is a predicted model, not a curated record.
CGGACAUUUAAAACACUGAGAGAAACAUUGACAAAGGGGUUCUUGUGAAUACUCGGAUCAGAAUCUGUGCUGUCCAUAGAGGACCCCACUGUUGGCAUGGUGAUCCAAAUGGCUUAUGGGAAGAAAGGUAUGGGCUAGACUCCCUGAGAAGCGAGGGUACCCUGGGACUGCUGGGGAAAAGAAAUAAAGGGCAGGAAAAAGACAGGAACAACUUGGACUUGAUAAGAACAACAUCUGGAGAGGGAAACACACAGACAGAACAGACAGAUGAUCAGAUGAAUGAUAAUAA